Molecule: long non-coding RNA, 517 nt
Organism: Pseudophryne corroboree (corroboree frog)
Lineage: Eukaryota; Metazoa; Chordata; Amphibia; Anura; Myobatrachidae
Exons: 3
Source: RefSeq, a predicted model, not a curated record
AACUGCUCCCCUGCCAGAGACAUCCAAGUGAUGAGUGCUGCUGCUGGGCCAAGUAGGGUAGAAUCAGCAUAAACUUAGCUUCUGGACUGUCUCCAGCUUGUGACUCUGAACAUAGAACAUUUUGUCUGGUGUAGCUAAUAAUGUGUUUUCAGUUCAUGUACUGUAAUUCCCGCAAAGUACCAUUGCUUUAUUUUCAAAGAGUUCCUGCCCAGCUGGCAGAGCCUUUGCUGUACAGCGGAAAGCUCAUUAAUCACAAGACAGAAGCUGCAAAGUGUGGAAGGACAAGGCUGGUGAAUAUGUACCAGGUUAUUUGCUGAGAAAUACUGCAGAGGAGGAUAAGCAAGGUUAUAGACCAGACAGCGGUGGCUCCCCUUGAUGGAACAGAACACUUGUCAGGUAGACAGAUGAACAGCCUUGUUUGUGAAUACGUGCAGAAUCUGCGUACACUUUAGCCAGUCAGUUUUCAGGAAUCAAGGACAUCAUUUCAUCUAACCAGAUAAAAUUAAAUAAAAUAAAA